GGUUGACCUCGGAUCAGGUAGGGAUACCCGCUGAACUUAAGCAUAUCAAUAAGCGGAGGAAAAGAAACCAACAGGGAUUGCCCCAGUAACGGCGAGUGAAGCGGCAAGAGCUCAAAUUUGAAAGCUGGCUCCUUCGGGGUCCGCAUUGUAAUUUGCAGAGGAUGCUUCGGGAGUGGCCCCCAUCUAAGUGCCCUGGAACGGGCUGUCAUAGAGGGUGAGAAUCCCGUCUGGGAUGGGGUGCCCACGCCCGUGUGAAGCUCCUUCGACGAGUCGAGUUGUUUGGGAAUGCAGCUCUAAAUGGGUGGUAAAUUUCAUCUAAAGCUAAAUAUUGGCCGGAGACCGAUAGCGCACAAGUAGAGUGAUCGAAAGAUGAAAAGCACUUUGAAAAGAGAGUUAAAAAGCACGUGAAAUUGUUGAAAGGGAAGCGUUUGCGACCAGACUCGCCUCUGGGGUUCAGCCGGCCUUCGGGCCCGGUGUACUUCCCCAGGGGCGGGCCAGCGUCGGUUUGGGCGGCCGGUCAAAGGCCCUCGGAAUGUAACGCCUCUCGGGGCGUCUUAUAGCCGAGGGUGCCAUGCGGCCUGCCCGGACCGAGGAACGCGCUUCGGCUCGGACGCUGGCUUAAUGGUCGUAAACGACCCGUCUGGAAACACGGACC
RNAcentral lists this ribosomal RNA (655 nucleotides) under Penicillium brocae. Its description in RNAcentral is "eukaryotic LSU rRNA". It matches the Rfam family "Eukaryotic large subunit ribosomal RNA", at positions 1 to 667 of the family's 3401-position model. The record is from RNAcentral. Lineage: Eukaryota; Fungi; Ascomycota; Eurotiomycetes; Eurotiales; Aspergillaceae.